GUGGGGAAUCUUCCGCAAUGGACGAAAGUCUGACGGAGCAACGCCGCGUGAGUGAUGAAGGUUUUCGGACUGUAAAGCUCUGUUGUUUAGGACGAAAGUGCCUGUUGCGAACAGUUACAGGUAUUGACGGUACUAAACGAGGAAGCCACGGCUAACUACGUGCCAGCAGCCGCGGUAAUACGUAGGUGGCAAGCGUUGUCCGGAAUUAUUGGGCGUAAAGAGCAUGUAGGCGGAGAUUUAAGUCUGUUGUGAAAAUGCGGGGCUCAACCCCGUAUUGCGAUGGAAACUGAAUUUCUUGAGUGCAGGAGAGGAAAGGGGAAUUCCCAGUGUAGCGGUGAAAUGCGUAGAUAUUGGGAGGAACACCAGUGGCGAAGGCGCCUUUCUGGACUGUGUCUGACGCUGAGAUGCGAAAGCCAGGGUAGCGAACGGGAUUAGAUACCCUUGUAGUCC
Molecule: ribosomal RNA, 450 nt
Filed under: uncultured bacterium
Lineage: Bacteria
Description: partial 16S ribosomal RNA
Rfam family: Bacterial small subunit ribosomal RNA
Source: RNAcentral